CCUACGGGGUGCAGCAGUGGGGAAUAUUGGGCAAUGGGCGCAAGCCUGACCCAGCAACGCCGCGUGAAGGAAGAAGGCUUUCGGGUUGUAAACUUCUUUUCUCAGGGACGAAGAAAGUGACGGUACCUGAGGAAUAAGCCACGGCUAACUACGUGCCAGCAGCCGCGGUAAUACGGAGGCGGCAAACGUUAUCCGGAUUUACUGGUUGUAAAGGGCGUGUAGGCGGGACUGCAAGUCAGAUGUGAAAACCAAGGGCUUAACCUGUGGCCUGCAGUUGAAACUGUAGUUCUUGAGUACUGGAGAGGCAGGCGGAAUGCGUGGUGUAGCGGUGAAAUGCGUAGAUAUUAGGAGGAACACCAGUGGCGAAGGCGGUCUGCUGGACAGCAACUGACGCUGAGGCGCGAAAGCGUGGGGAGCAAACAGGAUUAGAUACCCUUGUAGUC
Molecule: ribosomal RNA, 443 nt
Filed under: uncultured bacterium
Lineage: Bacteria
Description: partial 16S ribosomal RNA
Rfam family: Bacterial small subunit ribosomal RNA
Source: RNAcentral